RNAcentral lists this ribosomal RNA (687 nucleotides) under uncultured Acidobacteriota bacterium. RNAcentral's name for it is "bacterial SSU rRNA". It matches the Rfam family "Bacterial small subunit ribosomal RNA", at positions 141 to 859 of the family's 1533-position model. The record is from RNAcentral. Lineage: Bacteria; Pseudomonadati; Acidobacteriota.
GGAUAACUGGGGGAAACUUCAGCUAAUACCGCAUAAUACCUACGGGUCAAAGGAGCAAUUCGCUUAAGGAGGGGGUCGCGGCAGAUUAGUUAGUUGGCGGGGUAAUGGCCCACCAAGACGAUGAUCUGUAUCCGGCCUGAGAGGGCGCACGGACACACUGGAACUGAAACACGGUCCAGACUCCUACGGGAGGCAGCAGUGGGGAAUUUUGCGCAAUGGGGGAAACCCUGACGCAGCAACGCCGCGUGGAGGAAGAAGUAUUUCGGUACGUAAACUCCUUUCGAUCGGGACGAUAAUGACGGUACCGAGAGAAGAAGCCCCGGCUAACUUCGUGCCAGCAGCCGCGGUAAUACGAGGGGGGCAAGCGUUGUUCGGAAUUAUUGGGCGUAAAGGGUGCGUAGGCGGUUUGGUAAGUCUUUUGUGAAAUCUACAGGCUCAACUUGUAGACUGCAAAGGAAACUGCCGGGCUUGAGUAUGGGAGAGGUGAGUGGAAUUCCUGGUGUAGCGGUGAAAUGCGUAGAUAUCAGGAGGAACACCUGUGGCGAAAGCGGCUCACUGGACCAUAACUGACGCUGAUGCACGAAAGCUAGGGGAGCAAACAGGAUUAGAUACCCUGGUAGUCCUAGCCCUAAACGAUGACUGCUUGGUGUGGCGGGUACCCAAUCCCGCCGUGCCGUAGCUAACGCG